AAUGGAUCGAUCCAAAUAAAAUAAUGAGACAAGAUUCCAAAUCUACAAUUAUCUGCUCUUUGUCUAUUUCCAAAAAUCUCCAAACCCUUCCUCUCUUUACUCGCCUCUUCAAAAUUUGGUGGCUAUUGGAAAUCCAAGUGACCGCAGAUGUUCUUCAUUUCUGUCCGGAUAUGACGCCACUUGUUUGACGAUUAUUUCGGGUAUUACCUUCGACCAACUUCUCUGAUGACCCAAACUAGCUAGGACAUCUAAUUCUACUAUGACUUUGUACAUGUGUGAAGUAUUCUGCUAUAAAAUUACUGUACCUUCUGAUUCCUCGCAUAAAUGUUGAAUUGUUGUUA
Long non-coding RNA from Solanum tuberosum (potato), 341 nucleotides. RefSeq lists it as uncharacterized. The record is from RefSeq and is a predicted model, not a curated record. The transcript is spliced from 2 exons. NCBI's taxonomy places the organism in Eukaryota, Viridiplantae, Streptophyta, Magnoliopsida, Solanales, Solanaceae.